Molecule: transfer RNA, 71 nt
Filed under: Eurycotis floridana (Florida woods cockroach)
Lineage: Eukaryota; Metazoa; Arthropoda; Insecta; Blattodea; Blattidae
Description: tRNA-Asp
Source: RNAcentral
GAAGUUUUAGUUAAAGAAUAUAACAUUAUCCUGUCAAGAUAAAAUUAUCUAUAUAGUAUAGAUAUAUUUCU